CUCUUCCUAUCAUUGUGAAG
RNAcentral lists this non-coding RNA (20 nucleotides) under Arabidopsis thaliana (thale cress). The record is from RNAcentral. Lineage: Eukaryota; Viridiplantae; Streptophyta; Magnoliopsida; Brassicales; Brassicaceae. RNAcentral also lists the same sequence under 1 other name.